Magnolia sinica is the source of this 1168-nucleotide long non-coding RNA. RefSeq lists it as uncharacterized. The record is from RefSeq and is a predicted model, not a curated record. The transcript is spliced from 4 exons. Lineage: Eukaryota; Viridiplantae; Streptophyta; Magnoliopsida; Magnoliales; Magnoliaceae.
CCAGCACUCGGUUUUUCUACAAUUUUCAAGGGUUUCUUCCCUUCGAAGCUUCCGAAAAAAAAAAAAAAACACAAAUUAGGGUUUGUAUAAAAAUCCCAGUAGUUCUCACUCAAAAUCCGAUGGAAUCCGAUUCAUGGACCGCUUGUUUCACAUCCAAACGCCACCAAUCUACACUCCAAUCGCGAUCUGAUCUGUACCUUGCUUUUGAAGAAACGGACGACGACGAUGAUUCAAGGGCCGAGUUUUCCUGUCCGUUCUGUUCGGAGGAUUUUGUUAUCGUCGGUCUGUGAUGUCAAAUCGACGAUGAGCAUCCUGUCAAGGCGAAAAGUGGGGUGUGCCCUGUUUGUACGGUCAGGGUGGGAAUGGACAUGGUUGGACACAUAACCAUGCAGCAUGGAUAGUUCUUCAAGAUAUCCUUUUCUUGAAGGAUAUUCCACAUGAUCAUUUCUUUUGGAAAUGAUUGUAAAAUGCACUACAGAACGUGUAUGCGUGUGUGCAUUCACCAUAGCUUUUAAAUGGCACAGGGGUUAUCCCAUCAUUGAUCUGAACCGUUCAUUCAUUCAUACAACCGGGCGCAAGCCAUGGUGUAAAUAUCAUGCCAGUGGGAUGAUCCCCAUUGUCUGAUCAAUGGGAUGAUAGUUUUGGAAAUUUCCCAAAUGCCUCUACACCUGUUGUAUUCGAGAUUAUAACUGUAACAUAAGGCACAUCAUAGGCCAAACCUGAUACUUUAAAGGUGCAUAGUUAGAAAUUGUGUUUUCUUGGACAAUCUUUUGGGAGCAUUUGCUAAAAUGCUUUAAUGGUUUCAUUUUCAAUACAUCAUCGAAAUUGUUUUCUUGAAUGAUUAAGAACUUUGACCUUUUGCAAGCCCAUCUUCCUCUGUGAGAUGAAGAUGAUUUCUAGAUGCUCUUUUAACAAUUUCAUUCAGUUAAAAUUUGUAUACUAACUAAUUGAUUAGGAGUUAUGUACUUUGUUUGAUUGCUAUGGCCAGAUAGGCCAGGUAGUAUUUUAAUUCAAAGUCACUGAGACAUUUGGUGAUGCUUUAAAAACUCAGUCCCCAAUGUUCAAAAGGAGACAUCCAGUGGAGGGCUAACCAUGGCAGCCCAUCUCAGUGACUCUCAGGGAACACUGGUUAAUAUCGUCGUUGGCUUGCACGUGUGGGUGGAAAAUC